GACUUCGUGGUGUAGUGGUCAGAACGCUCGACGCUUAUUCGAAAGGCCCGUGGUUCGAAUCCCGGCAAGGGCA
This is a non-coding RNA of Stegodyphus mimosarum, 73 nucleotides long. The record is from Rfam. Lineage: Eukaryota; Metazoa; Arthropoda; Arachnida; Araneae; Eresidae.